UAACAUGCAUUCCCUAGUAGCGGCGAGUGAGCGGGAAGAGCUCAAAUUUGUAAUCUGGCGUCUUUCAGGCGUCCGAGUUGUAAUCUAUAGAAGUGUUUUCCGUGCUGGACCAUGUCCAAGUCCCUUGGAACAGGGUAUCAAAGAGGGUGACAAUCCCGUACUUGACAUGACCACCAGUGCUCUGUGAUACACUUUCUACGAGUCGAGUUGUUUGGGAAUGCAGCUCAAAAUGGGUGGUAAAUUCCAUCUAAAGCUAAAUAUUGGCGAGAGACCGAUAGCGAACAAGUACCGUGAGGGAAAGAUGAAAAGCACUUUGGAAAGAGAGUUAAACAGUACGUGAAAUUGUUGAAAGGGAAACGAUUGAAGUCAGUCGUGUUCAUUGGACUCAGCCGGUUUUCGGUGUAUUUCCUUUGAACGGGUCAACAUCAGUUUUGUCCGGUGGAUAAAGGCAGGAAGAAAGUGGCUCCCUCGGGAGUGUUAUAGCUUUCUGUCACAUACACUGGAGGAGACUGAGGACUGCAGCUCGCCUUUUGGCCGGGGUUCGCCCACGUUCGAGCUUAGGAUGUUGACAUAAUGGCUUUAAACGACCCGUCUGAAA
RNAcentral lists this ribosomal RNA (598 nucleotides) under Vanrija humicola. RNAcentral describes it as "LSU rRNA". It matches the Rfam family "Eukaryotic large subunit ribosomal RNA", at positions 66 to 658 of the family's 3401-position model. Lineage: Eukaryota; Fungi; Basidiomycota; Tremellomycetes; Trichosporonales; Trichosporonaceae. The record is from RNAcentral.